RNAcentral lists this ribosomal RNA (450 nucleotides) under uncultured bacterium. RNAcentral's name for it is "bacterial SSU rRNA". It matches the Rfam family "Bacterial small subunit ribosomal RNA", at positions 354 to 796 of the family's 1533-position model. The record is from RNAcentral.
GUGGGGAAUAUUGGACAAUGGGCGAAAGCCUGAUCCAGCCAUGCCGCGUGUGUGAAGAAGGUCUUCGGAUUGUAAAGCACUUUAAGUUGGGAGGAAGGGCAGUAAGUUAAUACCUUGCUGUUUUGACGUUACCGACAGAAUAAGCACCGGCUAACUUCGUGCCAGCAGCCGCGGUAAUACGAAGGGUGCAAGCGUUAAUCGGAAUUACUGGGCGUAAAGCGCGCGUAGGUGGUUUUGUAAGUUGGAGGUGAAAUCCCCGGACUCAACCUGGGAACUGCCUCCAAAACUGCAUGACUAGAGUACGGUAGAGGGUAGUGGAAUUUCCUGUGUAGCGGUGAAAUGCGUAGAUAUAGGAAGGAACACCAGUGGCGAAGGCGACUACCUGGACUGAUACUGACACUGAGGUGCGAAAGCGUGGGGAGCAAACAGGAUUAGAUACCCCAGUAGUCC